Molecule: long non-coding RNA, 568 nt
Organism: Lepus europaeus (European hare)
Lineage: Eukaryota; Metazoa; Chordata; Mammalia; Lagomorpha; Leporidae
Exons: 4
Source: RefSeq, a predicted model, not a curated record
AAUAUUUUCAUCACGACACAAGACAUUUGAAGAAGAGAUCUUUGCAAUUGGAAAACCUUGGCGACUGAGUUUGUCAGUGGUUAAAACCUUCUUGAACCUCUCUAGCGGAUGCACAGAUGGAGAGCCCUGGAGCAAUGUUAGGCUGCAUACAUGCUGGAAGAACCCAACCACAUGGACCCGGCUGGAACACUCUGAUGUCUGUUGUUGACAUGGUGCCCUUGGAGCUGCUCCAGAGAGUGGACCAUGGUGGUAGGCACACAGCCUACGGUGCAGGCGGUAACAUUGUCAGAUGAGAUACAAAAAAAAAAAAUGCCAGGAGGCAUUCAUGGGCCUAUGUCAGCAUUUACAGUUGCACUAGAGCUGUGUUCACUGCAUAGAAGCCUGGGGAAGAUUCCUGGACACGUGGAGUGGCCAUGAAGUGGAAGGAAGAGUGUUCCCAUUUGUUCAUCUCAACCGUCCAGGUUUCAGUUCGGAACUUUGAAAACUUGUGCUUCGGUGGAACAGGCUUUUUUCUUUUAAUGGAGAUUUUAAAUUGACAAUUUUAUGGCAACAAAAAAUUGUCCUAAAA